UUUCAUAAUAACGAGCCACGUAACACUCUCAAAGCAUCUUUCCCGCUGACUCAGCUUAAGUCAUUACAACUUGAUGCUCCGAUGAGAAGCCGCUGCUUCUUGGGUUUGGGCUCUUGAAAAUUUCCCAAUCACAAGAACAAGGUAAGCAACAUCAUAUCUUUACGUUUUGCAAAUUUGUUGCUGUUUUUCCUUCACUAGUUUUUGCUUGGUUACACACUAAGGUUUCUUGAUUUAAAAUGACCCAUUAACAAGAGGGAUUGAAGAAGAUUGAAUUUUUGGGUGCUAUCGCUUCCUCUUUAAUUUAGAUAGAGACUGAAAUUGAGAUAGUCAUGAAUUAUUGAUCUGUUUUUUGUUUCUUUUAAUUACCAUUUGAAUGUAAUAAUAUGGUAAUGGACGUUGAUGAAGGAAGAAUUAUUUUGUUUAGUGGUAACCAUCGUGUGCUUUGGGUAUUAGGAGAGGACAGAUAAAAAUAAUACUAGGCUAAUCUAGAUGGAUUGAUUGAUUUGAACUUGCAUGAUAAUCUGAUCCGUUAAAUAAUCAUAUGUUAGUUAGUUAUACCUAUCUAUCAUAUCACACAAAGUAAACGCUUGAAAUUUGUAUAGUUAUCUUCAUUUUGUUGUUGUUGCUGUUUGUGGGUCGACUGAGAUGUUCUGAGAGUUGAAGUGAAGCGUAGCCACAAUUAUUUUGUGUGUAGAUGCUUGUCAUUUUUAUUACUAAAAUGGGAGGUGAAAAUGAUUGGUCGCUCCACUUGGAUAUAUACCCUGUAUACAUAAGUUUAAGAAUUGACAUACUUUUUUCAUCUUCCUUUUGCUGGAAAAGCAUUAGCAUUCAAAGGAGACAACUGCAAGUACAUCAACUACCUGCAAUUUGCAUCUCCUUUGCCGUUAUCCCCUUUGAAGAAGGCAAAUUUGCAGUGGGUAAGUUAGAAUCUGUGUUUUAAAGAAUUACCAACAACAUAUACACGAUGAGUUUGAUGUAUGUGUCUUCUUCAGGCUUGCUGGGUUCGGUAGCAAACAUCAUUUUCCUAAUAUACGUACUCACUAUUAAUUGUUGUCAGUCAUUCAUUCGCAUCAGCCUCAGCACCACACUUCCAAAUUAACUAUCUUAAUCUUUUCGAUUUAACUCUUUUAUUUUAUCUUAAGCAGUGAUGCCAGAAUUCUGUAGCACUUCUGUUGUUGUAUGUCUUUGUUUUCUUCCCUUUUCUGUUUAUAUAUGGAUUGACAACUGCAUUUCAUUGAUCAUGAUUUGGCUUAUGUUAAUUGAAUCAAUAGAUUGCCUCCGGAAGGACGCUGUAUCUCCACCUCAUUUUGAUGCUGUCAAUUUUGGCAUUAUUCAUCAUCAGGAAACCAAUGGAAGAAAACAAGUUGGAGAAUUUUAACACAACAUAUAUAUAAUGGAGAUGUUAGCAUAUUGUGUUCCACUACAACUACAACAACCCUCAUUUCUUGCCUUAUAUUUUCAUCUAUACCUUCGAAUUUCGAUUUUAAAGCCCCUCGUGUAAAUCCUUGUUUUCGAAUCAAUUUUUUUUAAAAACAAUUUCAAGAAUUGUAUGCCAUAUAGGAA
Molecule: long non-coding RNA, 1563 nt
Filed under: Salvia miltiorrhiza (redroot sage)
Lineage: Eukaryota; Viridiplantae; Streptophyta; Magnoliopsida; Lamiales; Lamiaceae
Description: long non-coding RNA (SMIL_LNC010361)
Source: RNAcentral